Molecule: ribosomal RNA, 378 nt
Filed under: Triticum aestivum (bread wheat)
Lineage: Eukaryota; Viridiplantae; Streptophyta; Magnoliopsida; Poales; Poaceae
Description: partial small subunit ribosomal RNA
Source: RNAcentral
AUGGCGGCGGCAGACGGGCCGGGGCGACGCCGGCAGCAGGAGAGGCCGGGACGGCUCCCCAUCGUCGGAGCAGCAGGAGAGCGAGGCCCGUCCGAAGUUCGCCGCGAAUCGGCCGCGGGAGAAGAGACAGGCGCGGGAGGAGGCGUCGGAGCCUGGCCCUCACGCGCAGAGCAAACGGAGGUCGAGGCAGAGCAGCAGCAACCGGAUGAGGCCACAGCACCGGAGGACUGCCGAGGAAGAAGCGGGCGGCGGCGCCGCGAGCCCACCCGCGAGCGCGAACGGGAGACGCCCAUCUCCUCACAUGAGGCACGCAGCAGAGCAGGGGCACCGGAUCUGGCCUCGGCGGCCGCUGGGGGAGGAUGGCUGGAGCGGAUCUAG